AAGGUUAAGUUUAUACGAAGUUCGUGGAACUUCUUGUUGCUGUCCUCUACCCUUGAACAAGAUGUUAGUGUUGAACAGUUGGGCUUCUUGUCCAAAGUCAGAGUAGUCGAGCUAGUUGACAAGCUCAUUCCAAAAGAAGGUCCCAAGUCUCAAUUCUUACAUCAUUGGGAGAAAUUUCAUAAAGUGA
Molecule: long non-coding RNA, 187 nt
Organism: Frankliniella occidentalis (western flower thrips)
Lineage: Eukaryota; Metazoa; Arthropoda; Insecta; Thysanoptera; Thripidae
Exons: 2
Source: RefSeq, a predicted model, not a curated record